UCCCUGUUACCAGGGCAGUCUAGCUAGAAAAAUACAACUAACUACAAGGGUUGCGCUCGUUGAUGGACUUAACCAAACAUCUCACGACACGAGCUGACGACGGCCAUGCAUCACCUGUCACUUGGUUCCCGAAGGCACAGUUUCCUUUCGGAAGCCUUCCAAGGAUGUCAAGCCUGGGUAAGGUUCUUCGCUUACCAUCGAAUUAAACAACACGCUCCACCGCUUGUGCGGGUCCCCGUCAAUUCCUUUAUGUUUUAAGCUUGCGCUCGUACUCCACAGGCGGGAUGCUUAACGCGUUAGCUUCGCUACAAGAAGGGUCGAUACUCCUUACAGCUAGCAUCCAUAGUUUACGGCGUGGACUAC
This 363-nucleotide unclassified non-coding RNA is filed under the name uncultured bacterium. RNAcentral's name for it is "contains 16S-23S intergenic spacer region". The record is from RNAcentral.